CAGUAGCCGCGGGAAUACAGAGGGUGCGAGCGUUAAUCGGAUUUACUGGGCGUAAAGCGUGCGUAGGCGGCUUCUUAAGUCGGAUGUGAAAUCCCUGAGCUUAACUUAGGAAUUGCAUUCGAUACUGGGAAGCUAGAGUAUGGGAGAGGAUGGUAGAAUUCCAGGUGUAGCGGUGAAAUGCGUAGAGAUCUGGAGGAAUACCGAUGGCGAAGGCAGCCAUCUGGCCUAAUACUGACGCUGAGGUACGAAAGCAUGGGGAGCAAACAGGAUUAGAUACCCCCGUAGUCCCUGUCUCUUACAC
RNAcentral lists this ribosomal RNA (301 nucleotides) under uncultured bacterium. Its description in RNAcentral is "partial 16S ribosomal RNA". It matches the Rfam family "Bacterial small subunit ribosomal RNA", at positions 509 to 809 of the family's 1533-position model. The record is from RNAcentral.